UGGGCUGGGCGAAGUCUGACCGCCUUCCGCGUGAUGAAGAAGGCCUUUGGUUUUAAAACUGUUUUUAAAGGGAAAAAAACAAGCCUUGCAAUAGGCUGUGUUAGUGAUGGUUCAUUGAUCACAAGCACCGGCUAACUAAGUGCCCGCGGUCAUGGUGAUGGUGCAGGCGCAAUCGUUAUUUAUAGUUACUAGGGGUUGAGCGUGUGGUUUAUUUUUUGUAAGUCGAAUGUGAAAUCCCCAACCUCUGCUUGGCAACUGCGUCUGAAACUCUUGACUAAAAUAUGGUGGAGGGGGGGUAGAAUUCCACGUGUAGAAGUGGGGGGGGGUAAAGAUGAACACGAAUUGCAAUGGCGACUGACUUCCCCUGGGAUAAUACUGACGCUCAUGCGUGAGGG
This 395-nucleotide ribosomal RNA is filed under the name uncultured bacterium. Its description in RNAcentral is "partial 16S ribosomal RNA". The record is from RNAcentral.